Molecule: ribosomal RNA, 247 nt
Filed under: uncultured bacterium
Lineage: Bacteria
Description: partial 16S ribosomal RNA
Rfam family: Bacterial small subunit ribosomal RNA
Source: RNAcentral
UGCGAAGGCAAGCGGAUCUCUUGAAGCCGUUCUCAGUUCGGACUGUAGGCUGCAACUCGCCUACACGAAGCUGGAAUCGCUAGUAAUCGCGGAUCAGCACGCCGCGGUGAAUACGUUCCCGGGCCUUGUACACACCGCCCGUCACACCAUGAGAGUCUGUAACACCCAAGGCCGGUGGGAUAACCUUUAUAGGAGUCAGCCGUCUAAGGUAGGACAGAUGAUUAGGGUGAAGUCGUAACAAGGUACC